GACGAACGCUGGCGGCGUGCUUAACACAUGCAAGUCGAACGGAAAGGCCCUGCUUUUGUUGUGUUCUCGAUUGCCGAGCGGGUGAGUAACACGUGAGUAACCUGCCCUUGUCUUUGGGAUAACUUCAGGAAACUGGGGCUAAUACCGGAUAUAAUCUCCUGCUGCAUGUUGUGGGUUGGAAAAUUUCGGCGGUUGUGGCGGGUUUCGCGGCUUAUGGGCUUGUUUGGCGGGUAUGGGUUUACCAAGUCUUUGACGGGUAGCCGGCAUGAGAGGGUGGACGGGGACAUGGGGACUGAGAGAGGGCCCAGACGCAAACGUGAGGCAGGAGGGGGGAACAUUGCGCAACGGCCGGGAGCCUGAUGUAGAAGUGCCGGGUGCGGAAUGACGGCUUUUGGGGUGUAAACAGCUUUCGAAGGUGACGAAGAGUGAGUGACGGUAAUGGGUAAAGAAGCACCGGCUAACUACGUG
This 468-nucleotide ribosomal RNA is filed under the name uncultured bacterium. RNAcentral's name for it is "partial 16S ribosomal RNA". It matches the Rfam family "Bacterial small subunit ribosomal RNA", at positions 28 to 507 of the family's 1533-position model. The record is from RNAcentral.